GAAUAUCUUGUGUGCAGCACGCAUUGCCUGUACAAAUUUAAUAAGCCUUGGCCUACAGAUAAAUAAAUAAGAUGUCUUUUAUUGGCUUCAAUAUGAUGUGCCAUUACAAUGUCUAGUAUUGUCAACAAAGGCGUAUGAGAAGUGUCAACCCAGGCCUUGAGAUGGACUUCAAAUCGAAGUAUCCAUGAAAGCGAGGGACAAGAUCGACUACAACCGCGUCCGAACGAAAGACUUCAAUUUCGCUUGCAUCACUCAAAAACUACUGGCUUUGGAUUAUUCUCUCUCAAACAUGUUACAGCAAGUAAAGCUCAAUGCAAUUACCCCAUAUCCAUUCCUCCACCAUCACAACACUGCGAAAGCAUAUCAAAUUGCAGCUCAUAUCUAUGGAACAGUUUCCAAAGUAUAAGUUAAUAAAAGCCCUAUCCAAACUACUUAAUCAUUCUGCAACCCUCCUCCUUUAUCUGGACUUGGGACCAGCCAGAAAACAUAACCUUGAGAUAUUUGAA
This 506-nucleotide unclassified non-coding RNA is filed under the name Hevea brasiliensis (rubber tree). Lineage: Eukaryota; Viridiplantae; Streptophyta; Magnoliopsida; Malpighiales; Euphorbiaceae. The record is from RNAcentral.